UACGUAGGUGGCAAGCGUUGUCCGGAAUUAUUGGGCGUAAAGCGCGCGCAGGCGGUCCCUUAAGUCUGAUGUGAAAGCCCACGGCUCAACCGUGGAGGGUCAUUGGAAACUGGGGGACUUGAGUACAGAAGAGGAAAGCGGAAUUCCACGUGUAGCGGUGAAAUGCGUAGAUAUCUGGAGGAACACCGGUGGCGAAGGCGGCAUCCUGGACCGGCAUUGACGCUGAGGCGCGAAAGCCAGGGGAGCAAACGGG
RNAcentral lists this ribosomal RNA (253 nucleotides) under uncultured bacterium. RNAcentral describes it as "partial 16S ribosomal RNA". It matches the Rfam family "Bacterial small subunit ribosomal RNA", at positions 524 to 776 of the family's 1533-position model. The record is from RNAcentral.